AAACUUACCUGGCAGGGAGUAUACUAUGAUCAAGAAGGUUUUUUUCCCCAAAGUGAGGCUCUUCCAUUGCACUUUGUUUGGGUUGACACCUCUGAUUUCACCAAAUGUAGGAAACUCAUCUGCAUAAUGUAUUUUAGUGGGGGGACUACAUUCACACU
Molecule: small nuclear RNA, 158 nt
Organism: Protopterus annectens (West African lungfish)
Lineage: Eukaryota; Metazoa; Chordata; Ceratodontiformes; Protopteridae
Product: U1 spliceosomal RNA
Exons: 1
Source: RefSeq, a predicted model, not a curated record